This 460-nucleotide ribosomal RNA is filed under the name uncultured bacterium. RNAcentral describes it as "partial 16S ribosomal RNA". It matches the Rfam family "Bacterial small subunit ribosomal RNA", at positions 338 to 795 of the family's 1533-position model. The record is from RNAcentral.
CCUACGGGUGGCAGCAGUGAGGAAUAUUGGUCAAUGGACGAGAGUCUGAACCAGCCAAGUAGCGUGAAGGAUGACUGCCCUAUGGGUUGUAAACUUCUUUUGUACGAGGGUAAACCCCGAUACGUGUAUCGGGUUGAAAGUAUCGUACGAAUAAGGAUCGGCUAACUCCGUGCCAGCAGCCGCGGUAAUACGGAGGAUCCGAGCGUUAUCCGGAUUUAUUGGGUUUAAAGGGUGCGUGGGCGGUUUGAUAAGUUAGAGGUGAAAUGUCGGGGCUCAACCCCGAAACUGCCUCUAAUACUGUUGGACUAGAGAAUAGUUGCGGUAGGCGGAAUGUAUGGUGUAGCGGUGAAAUGCUUAGAGAUCAUACAGAACACCGAUUGCGAAGGCAGCUUACCAAACUAUAUCUGACGUUGAGGCACGAAAGCGUGGGUAGCAAACAGGAUUAGAUACCCUUGUAGUC